RNAcentral lists this long non-coding RNA (1069 nucleotides) under Homo sapiens (human). RNAcentral describes it as "psoriasis susceptibility 1 candidate 3, transcript variant 2 (PSORS1C3)". The record is from RNAcentral. Lineage: Eukaryota; Metazoa; Chordata; Mammalia; Primates; Hominidae.
GUUUUGUCUGGGGCUCGUCCUGCUACAUUUCUUGGUUCCCUGAACAGGAAGCGAGGUAACUGACGGACGGCCAAGGCAGCCCCUUGGGUGGCUUAGGCCUGCCCUGUGGAGCAUCCCUGCGGUGGACUCUGGCCAGCCUGAGUGACGCGAUCCAAAGAGCGCUCCCGGGUAGGAAAUUCCCCGGGUGGAACGCCUCGCCAGAGCAGCACGUAGCAGGCCCCCGAGGAGGAUUAACACACUGGCUGAACACUGGGAAGGAACUGGCACUUGGAGUCCGGACAUCUGAAACUUGCAACCCACUCUCUGUGCUAUGACUUCAUUACUCUUUCCCAGCCCAGCCCUGGGCAAGCCCCUUACGAAGUCUCAGGCUACCUGGAUGACCACCCUUUCUUAUGAUGCUGCAAGGAGGGCAGGUGGGCAGAGCCCCGUGCAUCCUGGGCUCAGGCCAGGGACCCAAGAGCUUGGGAGAAGCUGGUUCUCAGACUGAAGGCCAGAGCCCAGCACCUUGUCACCAUCCCGGGGAGCAUCAUGGCACACAACAACCAGAGCCAAGUAGAGACAGGGUUUCACCAUGUUGGCCAGGCUGGUCUCGAACUGCUGAUCUGAAGUGAUCCGCCCGCCUCAGCCUCCUAAAGUGCUGGGAUUAUAGGCAUGAGCCACCGCUCCCGGCCUCCUCCUAUAUCUCUUGAUCAAACUUCAGGGGAAAACCUGCCAGAUUCCCCAGGAAGGAUGCUUGGAGGUGUGCAGAGAAGUCUACAUUCCCAUGUCAAAUUGACAGGCCUCGGAAGUCAAAAUAAGUGGUUUCCUAGACCGGGUCGAGAGCAAGUCUCUAUUGGUCCCAACUGAGUUUUUUCAGCUGGUUUUUCAACCAAACAGCACCUCAUCUCCCAGUGAGGGGAAGGGAAGGCUGGGCUGAGAGCAGCAAGGCUGCUCAUCUCACCUCUCCCCACCCAGCCAUGCCAGCCGCCUCACCUGGUGGGGAGAGGUGGGCCUCACCUGGGUCCCCUGGCAGUGCUCUGUGAAGGGUCUUGACAUUGCACUGUAAUAAUAAAGGUGUGUGUGAAGUAUC